This 78-nucleotide transfer RNA is filed under the name Myxococcales bacterium. RNAcentral's name for it is "tRNA-Pro". It matches the Rfam family "tRNA". Rfam says of the family: Transfer RNA (tRNA) molecules are approximately 80 nucleotides in length. Their secondary structure includes four short double-helical elements and three loops (D, anti-codon, and T loops). The record is from RNAcentral. Lineage: Bacteria; Pseudomonadati; Myxococcota; Myxococcia; Myxococcales.
CCAGGUGUAGCGUAGUUUGGCUAACGCGUCGGCUUUGGGUGCCGAAGAUCGCAGGUUCGAAUCCUGCCUCCUGGACCA